GUUGGGGGUUUUUUUUCCCCCUCAAUGGCAAGUAUUACGAUUGAUAAUAUGGUUAAUGCUGUUUCAAUUUUUACCAUUCUCUAGAUGAUAGCUACCAUAUCACACAAUUUUCGUGGGGCUUUUUUUUCUUUCCCCACCCCCCAUUUGUCCAUUCUGAAGAAAGGUUUAUGAAAGUUUUCCAUGUGGUACUGCCAUCAGCAGGCUAGAAAGCAAGCCAGCUCUCUAAAGAUGCCUCACACACAGACGAGCCAAGACUCCUGCUUUCAGCAUGAAGCCCUAGGAGACACUGCUCAGGAUCCUCUGAUAACAGAAAGCGUUGCCUUCAGAGGAGCUGCUCUGCAAGAACACCAUACCCACGCUCCACAGAGAGGCUAGAAGAGGAACUGGCAGCAAGCUGAGCUGUGGCAAAACGAGACAUAGAAGUUCUACCACAUUAGAGAAGACGGUUCUUCCUCAAACUGUCGAGUCUUAAAGUUGCAGAGGUAUUAAUUUUUCAAACAACCACAAACUGACGUGACCUACACACUGACUGCUUUUCCAGAAAUACAUCGACUUCUGACAUAAAAUUCGCAAGAAUUACGUAUCACUUAGGUAGGGUUGUGAAUUCUACCUUUUAAUUUCAUCACCCAUCCUACACUUCUAGUUGUGCAUUUCACCUUCACCUUGAUAAAGGCAUCCACCCUCGCAUCUGUGUUGAACAAUAAAUGAAUUGUUUGUGCAGGAGAAAUUCACAGCAAAAGAACAAAAGCCUCCUAACAAGGACAGUGAAGUGGAAAUGAACACUUAGUAAAAAUAACCGGCUAACAGUUAAUAGGUCUAAACAUUACACCAAGCACUUAGAAGAAAUUAAUAUACGUCAUAUAAUGGAAGGAUUUUGCUUACCUUAGCAGGACUUUCUCCUUUCACUUCAACAUUUUCUAAUAGUUUAACUACACCCAUUCCUUUGAUGACUUGGCCAAACACCACAUGCUUCCCGUCCAGGUGAGAAGUAGGCACCGUUGUAAUGAAGAACUGAGAGCCAUUAGUACCAGGUCCUGCAUUUGCCAUGCUCAGCAGCCCUGGUUUAUCAUGCUGCAUUAGGGGAAAAAAAAAUCACAACAUAUGACAGAACAGUUAUUAAAUCAUAAAUAAGAUUCUGUAAGGCUAUUAAUAUAUAUAUAGUAAGGACAGCCGUAAUGACAACUUGGUAAACCAGACAGACUAAUUCCACCUAUCCUAACUGAAGAGGGCAAAUUGCCCAGCUCUGCAACUUUACUUGCCACCCAGCAGGCUCGCAAGCAGAGCCGUGCGUGUGACUUCUGUUUGCUUCUUGCACACUCAACCCUCUGCACAGCUGCUGAGUUUAGAGAUCACCUGAGAGACACAUGAAGUUCCUCACCAGGUUAUUCAAGGCCACUAUCCUCAAGAAACAAAGCAAAACACCUCUUAAAGCAACUUUAAUGUUACACUGACAAGAGAGGUAUGUAGUACAUGUACUGUUAAUUUUGUAAAGGUUACUCUUUCAUAGUAUGUUGUAGAACUGUGGGUUAUAGGGACUGUGGUCUUUAUUAUUUAGAGGUUGGUGGGAUUUUUUAAAUUCCUUUACUUCUUAUUCUGUUGGGAUUUUUAACCAUCUAAUUACUUUGGCUUAUGCUACCGGGCCACAAACUAACAAAAAAUUUCAUUAAACAGCCCAACAUGAGAAAAUAUUGUUUAUCUUAUUUCCCAUAAGUACUUUUUCCUUCUUUGAAAUAAGAAUUAUUUUGCUUCACCAUGCAGAUUAUUUCAUUUUCACUCGUACUGCGAGAAUGUAUUUUUCAUACGUGUUGUGAAUGUCUCGUCGUUAAACUGGCAUGACACAGUCAUUAAGAUAUUAUUCUCCCCAAGUUGAUCUGGUUAUUAAGUGCAAGAAACUUUUGUUUAACCUAAGUCAGUAUGUUACACCAAGAGCCUGGUACAUGACUGAAGCAUGCAAGCUGUGGUAUUCCUAAGAAACUUGAUACUGUGGGGAGGAAAGGAGGACAAAAAAAAAGUGACAGGGGAUGGAAGCAGAAAUUGCUGUGAAGUAGACCUCAGAGCUCAACGGGAGGUUGAUUAGUUUGAGACAGUGGUCUGAGAGGGCUGUACUUAAGCACCUGGUUUGUCCCUACCACUUUGAAGACCUGUAUUUUUUGAAAACUGCUUUCCCACACAGUGUUCUUAUGUCCACGGUGGUAGGGAGAACUCCUUGCCCAAGGUGUUCAUCCGGUCAAAUGGCACAAUGAGUCUGAAUCUUUCAAGCAGGAUUUGGCUUGGGAACUCUGGGAAAAGGUUGUACAGCUGAGAGCUAGAACUGAACUCAGCCAACAGAAAGUGACUGGAAUAAUCUUGGCUCUGUCUCUUGUCUUGAAACUCAUCCUGGGAAUCAGAGGUGGCAAAUGGCACAGAGGAAGCUUGUGUUCCACAGCAAGAGAAGGCAUCUGGUAGCAAGCCUGCAAGAAUGCAGCCUCCAAAACAAACAUCUGCAUCGUAUUGCUGGCAAACAAGUAAAUCGGAUUCCCCAUAGGAGAUUACUGCAAAUAUGAUUUGAGGCGGGUCACUGAUUCACUGUCCAAGAGGCAGAACAAGACCUGUAAAUCUUACUUUUUUUUUUUUUCUCUCAAUUACAACUAAUGCUA
Molecule: non-coding RNA, 2636 nt
Organism: Phalacrocorax carbo (great cormorant)
Lineage: Eukaryota; Metazoa; Chordata; Aves; Suliformes; Phalacrocoracidae
Source: RefSeq, a predicted model, not a curated record